Long non-coding RNA from Papilio polytes (common Mormon), 737 nucleotides. RefSeq lists it as uncharacterized. The record is from RefSeq and is a predicted model, not a curated record. Lineage: Eukaryota; Metazoa; Arthropoda; Insecta; Lepidoptera; Papilionidae. The transcript is spliced from 2 exons.
CGUCAAUAAAACUGCUGGCGAAGAUUGAAAUGUCAAAGUAAAGUAAUCAACGAGCUAUUUAUUUAAACAAAAUUUAUGUUAAGUACGGACGUAUUUUAAUAAUACAUAAAUGUGAAUAUAUGCAAGAAAUGGUUGUGAAAAAUUAUAAAUUGUUUACCGAAUGUUACAGAUGAACGUUAUUUAGUUAAAUCAACUAAAAAAUCGGAGAGAAUGAAGUUUCAAGUAAUUAUAGCUAUACUUAUCUAUAUGUUAAUUACAACUAAUUCUGAAGAUAUAUCAAAGAACGAAAAUAAUCUAGAAGCGACGGACAAUCAAGGCAAGAUUGGUAAUAAUACCGAUGGCUAUAAAACAACUGACAGCUCCAGAAAAUCAAAAUCGUUUAUAAAAUCGCAUUCAAUUUGCCCAAUGGAUUACAAGCUUGUUGGACGUAUUUGCAUUCCAAAAUAGUAGGUUCCAACUACGUAGGUUAAAGUGUACUUGUCUUUUUAUAUUGUUGAAAUGUCGAUACAAAUAUGAUUAAUGUUUUGUUUAAUAAAUAUAUUUAUUUGUUCUUUAAAUUUAUUAUUAUUACUCUGUAUUUGGUUGUGUAUUGUAUAUUUAUUUAAGAAAAGGAUUAUGUCGUUUUCUGAACAAAAACGUGAAAAACUAUACCACAAUUCUGUCUUAAAAUUGUAACAAUUCCAAUUGUGAUUUGUUUGUCAGAUUUUUUUGUUGAUUGAAAAAUAUUUAAAAUGAAA